Molecule: small nuclear RNA, 185 nt
Filed under: Oryza sativa Indica Group (long-grained rice)
Lineage: Eukaryota; Viridiplantae; Streptophyta; Magnoliopsida; Poales; Poaceae
Description: U2 spliceosomal RNA
Source: RNAcentral
ACAGCUUAUUCUACUUUAGUUUAUUGUAAUAUAGUUUAAUAUCUAACUUAAUAAUUUAGAUUACAAUAAUUCUAAACUAAAACAAAUAGAACAUGAGAACAUGAUAUUAUGAGAAAGUCGAUUACGAGAAUCCGAAAUAGCUAAAAUUACCAAUAUUCUAGUUCCUUGCUUAUUUUUUAUAGAGU